UUGGAGGGCAAGUCUGGUGCCAGCAGCCGCGGUAAUUCCAGCUCCAAUAGCGUAUAUUAAAGUUGUUGCAGUUAAAAAGCUCGUAGUUGAAUUUCGGGAUCAGAGUGUCGGUCGUGCCUCGGUACGCACUGGUAUUAUUGGUUCCUACCUUCUGAAGAACCGCGAUGUCAUUAAUUUGGUGUCGUGGGGAAUCAGGACUGUUACUUUGAAAAAAUUAGAGUGUUUAAAGCAGGCUUACGCUUGAAUACAUUAGCAUGGAAUAAUGAAAUAGGACGUUUGAUUCUAUUUUGUUGGUUUCUAGGAUUGACGUAAUGAUUAAUAGGGAUAGUUGGGGGCAUUAGUAUUCAAUUGCCAGAGGUGAAAUUCUUGGAUUUAUUGAAGACUAACUACUGCGAAAGCAUUUGCCAAGGAUGUUUUCAUUAAUCAAGAACGAAAGUUAGGGGAUCGAAGACGAUCAGAUACCGUCGUAGUCUUAACCAUAAACUAUGCCGACUAGGGAUCGGAUGAUGUUAAUUUUUUAAUGACUCAUUCGGCGCCUUACGGGAAACCAAAGUGUUUGGGUUC
This 564-nucleotide ribosomal RNA is filed under the name uncultured Glomeromycotina. Its description in RNAcentral is "SSU rRNA". It matches the Rfam family "Eukaryotic small subunit ribosomal RNA", at positions 548 to 1114 of the family's 1831-position model. Lineage: Eukaryota; Fungi; Glomeromycota. The record is from RNAcentral.